This 394-nucleotide ribosomal RNA is filed under the name uncultured bacterium. RNAcentral's name for it is "bacterial SSU rRNA". It matches the Rfam family "Bacterial small subunit ribosomal RNA", at positions 362 to 773 of the family's 1533-position model. The record is from RNAcentral.
UUUUUCUCAAUGGGCGCAAGCCUGAUCCAGCAAUGCCGCGUGAGUGAUGAAGGCCUUAGGGUUGUAAAGCUCUUUUACCCGGGCUGAUAAUGACAGUACCGGGAGAAUAAGCUCCGGCUAACUCCGUGCCAGCAGCCGCGGUAAUACGGAGGGAGCUAGCGUUAUUCGGAAUUACUGGGCGUAAAGCGCACGUAGGCGGCUUUGUAAGUUAGAGGUGAAAGCCCAGAGCUCAACUCUGGAAUUGCCUUUGAUACUGCAUCGCUUGAAUCCAGGAGAGGUGAGUGGAAUUCCGAGUGUAGAGGUGAAAUUCGUAGAUAUUCGGAAGAACACCAGUGGCGAAGGCGGCUCACUGGACUGGUAUUGACGCUGAGGUGCGAAAGCGUGGGGAGCAAAC